RNAcentral lists this ribosomal RNA (614 nucleotides) under uncultured bacterium. RNAcentral describes it as "bacterial SSU rRNA". It matches the Rfam family "Bacterial small subunit ribosomal RNA", at positions 338 to 942 of the family's 1533-position model. The record is from RNAcentral.
CCUACGGGAGGCAGCAGUAGGGAAUCUUCCGCAAUGGACGAAAGUCUGACGGAGCAACGCCGCGUGAACGAAGAAGGCCUUCGGGUCGUAAAGUUCUGUUGUUAGGGAAGAACAAGUACCAGAGUAACUGCUGGUACCUUGACGGUACCUAACCAGAAAGCCACGGCUAACUACGUGCCAGCAGCCGCGGUAAUACGUAGGUGGCAAGCGUUGUCCGGAAUUAUUGGGCGUAAAGCGCGCGCAGGUGGUUCCUUAAGUCUGAUGUGAAAGCCCACGGCUCAACCGUGGAGGGUCAUUGGAAACUGGGGAACUUGAGUGCAGAAGAGGAAAGUGGAAUUCCAAGUGUAGCGGUGAAAUGCGUAGAGAUUUGGAGGAACACCAGUGGCGAAGGCGACUUUCUGGUCUGUAACUGACACUGAGGCGCGAAAGCGUGGGGAGCAAACAGGAUUAGAUACCCUGGUAGUCCACGCCGUAAACGAUGAGUGCUAAGUGUUAGAGGGUUUCCGCCCUUUAGUGCUGCAGCUAACGCAUUAAGCACUCCGCCUGGGGAGUACGGCCGCAAGGCUGAACUUACGAAUGAGUGNGNGNGNGCGAGCGACGACGACGGAGAGGAG